RNAcentral lists this non-coding RNA (25 nucleotides) under Mus musculus (house mouse). The record is from RNAcentral. Lineage: Eukaryota; Metazoa; Chordata; Mammalia; Rodentia; Muridae.
UAGCAAGAGUUGUGCUGUAUCAGCC